CAGGGAGACAACAACUGAUCGUGAUGUCUGAGUGAAUUUAUUCUUAGACCAUGAUCCUGUCACUUUAGGUCGAUCGGUACCUCAAGUUGAUAAUCAAAGAAAAGGUUGAUCAAAGAUUUUUUCUUUAUUAAUUGGCUUCAGUUCCUAAACUUUGUCUAGUUCACACCUCUCAAGGGUUACUCCUGGGCCAUUAGCUCAGGUGGUUAGAGCGCACCCCUGAUAAGGGUGAGGUCCCUGGUUCAAGUCCAGGAUGGCCCAUUCGGUUUUGGGGGUUUAGCUCAGUUGGUAGAGCGCCUGCUUUGCAAGCAGGAUGUCAGCGGUUCGAGUCCGCUAACCUCCACUGAUCGACCUCCUCUAAAUACCAGUGGAGACGACCAUUGAUAGAUGUGAUUUAGGCUUAUUAAUGUCCGCUGAAUGAACCUAGCUUUUUAUCAUUCCCAAAAGGCUGAUAGGACGCUGGGCUCACUGUUAUUCGAAAGAAUUUCAGAGAAGUUCGGCAGAACCUUGACAACUGCAUAGGUGAGUCUGGAAAGAAUAAAGCAUCUCAUGGAUGCAUCUUUUUUAAAUCACUUCUUUUUUGUUGUGAAAACAGCUUAAUAGAUUCGAUUUAAAUAAUGGUGUUAAUUCUUGAGCAAGAGCCGAGACUCUAUAGCGUUCUCUUUAAACAUAAUUUAAAGAGUUAGAUUUUUAGAUUCAAACUUGAAUUGGUUUGAUUGAUAAAUCGAAUAAAAUCUGUUUAUUGAUUAAUACUUGCUUAAGGAAAUGAAUCUCUAAAGAAUUACGUUUCAACAACGUAUAAGCGUUAUGGAGGUUAAUU
Molecule: transfer RNA, 817 nt
Filed under: uncultured cyanobacterium
Lineage: Bacteria; Bacillati; Cyanobacteriota
Description: partial 16S-23S ribosomal RNA intergenic spacer
Rfam family: tRNA (bases 268-340)
Source: RNAcentral